CGGCCCGUAGCUCAGUUGGUUAGAGCGGGGCUCUUAUAAAGCUCAGGUCGUGGGUUCAAGUCCCACCGGGCCGACCA
This 77-nucleotide transfer RNA is filed under the name Candidatus Nanopelagicaceae bacterium. Its description in RNAcentral is "tRNA-Ile". It matches the Rfam family "tRNA". From Rfam's summary of the family: Transfer RNA (tRNA) molecules are approximately 80 nucleotides in length. Their secondary structure includes four short double-helical elements and three loops (D, anti-codon, and T loops). The record is from RNAcentral. Lineage: Bacteria; Bacillati; Actinomycetota; Actinomycetes; Candidatus Nanopelagicales; Candidatus Nanopelagicaceae. RNAcentral also lists the same sequence under 2 other names.